CAGCCGCCGCGGGAAUACGAAGGGUGCAAGCGUUAAUCGGAAUUACUGGGCGUAAAGCGUACGCAGGCGGUUUGUUAAGUCAGAUGUGAAAUCCCCGGGCUUAACCCGGGAACUGCAUUUGAAACUGGCAGGCUAGAGUCUCGUAGAGGGGGGUAGAAUUCCAGGUGUAGCGGUGAAAUGCGUAGAGAUCUGGAGGAAUACCGGUGGCGAAGGCGGCCCCCUGGACGAAGACUGACGCUCAGGUACGAAAGCGUGGGGAGCAAACAGGAUUAGAUACCCCUGUAGUCCCUGUCUCUUAUAC
This 301-nucleotide ribosomal RNA is filed under the name uncultured bacterium. Its description in RNAcentral is "partial 16S ribosomal RNA". It matches the Rfam family "Bacterial small subunit ribosomal RNA", at positions 509 to 807 of the family's 1533-position model. The record is from RNAcentral.